GACGAACGCUGGCGGCGUGCUUAACACAUGCAAGUCGAACGCUGAAGCACCAGCUUGCUGGUGUGGAUGAGUGGCGAACGGGUGAGUAAUACGUGAGUAACCUGCCCUUGACUCUGGGAUAAGCCCGGGAAACUGGGUCUAAUACUGGAUGCUACAUGUCACCGCAUGGUGGUGUGUGGAAAGGGUUUACUGGUCUUGGAUGGGCUCACGGCCUAUCAGCUUGUUGGUGAGGUAAUGGCUCACCAAGGCGACGACGGGUAGCCGGCCUGAGAGGGUGACCGGCGACACUGGGACUGAGACACGGCCCAGACUCCUACGGGAGGCAGCAGUGGGGAAUAUUGCACAAUGGGCGAAAGCCUGAUGCAGCGACGCCGCGUGAGGGAUGACGGCCUUCAGGUUGUAAAACUCUUUCAGCAGGGAAGAAGCCACAAGUGACGGUACCUGCAGAAGAAGCGCCGGCUAACUACGUG
RNAcentral lists this ribosomal RNA (470 nucleotides) under uncultured bacterium. RNAcentral's name for it is "partial 16S ribosomal RNA". It matches the Rfam family "Bacterial small subunit ribosomal RNA", at positions 28 to 507 of the family's 1533-position model. The record is from RNAcentral.